CGACAUAUCACUUUGAACAGUUUUUUGUCGCGCCUCAACAAGAAACGACACUUCAACCAAACGACAAAAUCAAUAAAGAACGCAAAACAGUUCGACAAGACACGCUUAACGUCGAUUCCUCGCGGCUGGCGAAUUUAUUCGACAUGCAAAUGAUGCACACAGAACAUUAACAAGUCGUCAGAAUUAACAAGAGAAGAGUACAACCAUCCUCGAAUUGUCGUUUGGGUCCAAAGUUUUCUGGCAUAGGUACCAGAACCCAAAGUACCCAAGUGAACCCAAAGGUGAUAAGAAAAAGAUAAGUGCCUAUAUUAAAUUUUCCCUAGGUUCUAAUUUAAAAUCUCUGCUUGCUACCUUAGAAAAUUAAUGUAUAAUAAUUCGCUUCUAAUUGUUCGAGUAUAUUGAAUUUGUGCUGCUAGUCGCCAGUGACCUCCAGGUAUUCGAAGUGUCGAAAGGCCGGUAGGUGUUCAAAAACGACGAAACGAAUUUACUCUUCAACGAAACGCGUCAACCUUGGAAUAAAUCACGACCCACCUUGAAACAUCCCCGUGGACGACAGUGACCUUUUCUUCUCCCUACGUGAAACCGUUACAUCUUUCACUAUAUAGACUCACGGGCAACGGUUCACGGUAACAUCUGAAUGCAAAGAGGAUACACAGUUGACUCCGCUGUAUCCGCGAUACGAAGAAAAAUCAAUUCUCUCUUGGGAUGACGCAUCACUUUGCACAUCGUAACACUGGCACAAUUCAAUCCUUUCGUCUCGUCACCAGUUCUUUCGAAGAAUGCAACCGUGCUUGGAUCAACACGUUGACAGAAGAAAAUGCGACCAGAGUACCGGGGUGUCGCGUGUGCAUCGAGAAGUCACAUGGAUUGACACGAACUGGGUGGCACGAGUGACUCAUGUGUCGCACAAUAUUCGUCUGGUAUAUCGGUUUCAUAAAUCUCCAUACGAGAUAGAGAUGUUUUCUGUAUUGUUGAUGAUACCAGCGCAAACUUUAUAUCCGCUCGAUUAGGACCAACACGACACCCUCUCACGUUCCCAAAAUGUUCCCUGCCAUUUGCACCAUUUUCGGUACAUUUUCAACUUCCUGUUAACAAUCGAUGGCAGAGAACGUGUUGAAUAUUUAUAAAAUUUCAACGAUACGUUACUAUCCAUGAUAAGAGUAAAUUUUCUCAUCAACACUGACAUUUUGUCGGUUGUCAAAUUUGUAGAAAAUUAUUAAAUAACUUUGAUGGUAUUAAAAACACAAGGGUUCCGAAAAUUCCAA
Osmia lignaria (orchard mason bee) is the source of this 1265-nucleotide non-coding RNA. The record is from RefSeq and is a predicted model, not a curated record. NCBI's taxonomy places the organism in Eukaryota, Metazoa, Arthropoda, Insecta, Hymenoptera, Megachilidae.